Molecule: ribosomal RNA, 452 nt
Filed under: uncultured bacterium
Lineage: Bacteria
Description: bacterial SSU rRNA
Rfam family: Bacterial small subunit ribosomal RNA
Source: RNAcentral
CAGCAGUGGGGAAUAUUGCGCAAUGGGGGCAACCCUGACGCAGCCAUGCCGCGUGAAUGAAGAAGGCCUUCGGGUUGUAAAGUUCUUUCGGUGAUGAGGAAGGGAGUUAUGUUAAUAGCAUAAUUCAUUGACGUUAGUCACAGAAGAAGCACCGGCUAACUCCGUGCCAGCAGCCGCGGUAAUACGGAGGGUGCGAGCGUUAAUCGGAAUAACUGGGCGUAAAGGGCACGCAGGCGGUGACUUAAGUGAGGUGUGAAAUCCCCGGGCUUAACCUGGGAAUUGCAUUUCAGACUGGGUCGCUAGAGUACUUUAGGGAGGGGUAGAAUUCCACGUGUAGCGGUGAAAUGCGUAGAGAUGUGGAGGAAUACCGAAGGCGAAGGCAGCCCCUUGGGAAUGUACUGACGCUCAUGUGCGAAAGCGUGGGGAGCAAACAGGAUUAGAUACCCUGGUAG